ACAGAGGUGGCAAGCGUUGUUCGGAAUUACUGGGCGUAAAGGGCGCGUAGGCGGUCUUGCAAGUCCCGUGUGAAAUCCCUCGGCUCAACUGAGGAACUGCACGGGAAACUGCUUGGCUUGAGUUCGGGAGAGGGAAGCGGAAUUCCGGGUGUAGCGGUGAAAUGCGUAGAUAUCCGGAGGAACACCGGUGGCGAAGGCGGCUUCCUGGACCGACACUGACGCUGAGGAGCGAAAGCGUGGGGAGCAAACCGGA
RNAcentral lists this ribosomal RNA (253 nucleotides) under uncultured prokaryote. RNAcentral's name for it is "partial 16S ribosomal RNA". It matches the Rfam family "Bacterial small subunit ribosomal RNA", at positions 525 to 777 of the family's 1533-position model. The record is from RNAcentral.